GAAGAUUACAGAUGUAUUGCUGAAGAUGUGCAGGAGGGACAUGAGGCCUGGUUGACCUUCUAAGAGCAGGUAACACAGGUUCUCGUGGCAGAAAGGAAUGGGAAUUGGUGGUAGUGGUAUGUAAUGUGUCAUCAACAGUAGGGUAGGGAUUAGAAACAAGAGGAGAAGGGGAAGGAGAAGUAUUAGAUGUUGAGGAAGGACUGAGUAAUGAUUCAUCAAUAGCAGGUGAACAGACAGGGAAGGAAGGAAGAAGGGAAGGUGGAACAGAGGAGGUACUUCUUGAAGAAGCAUAGGGAAAGACAUCCUCAUAGAAAGUAACAUCCCUGGAUAUGAUAGUGAGUUUGGUUUUCAAGUUAUACAACGUGUAUCCCUUUUUACCCAGUGGAUAUCCCAGGAAAACACAAGGGUCAGCUCUUGGAUGAAAUUUGUCUCUAUGCUGCUUGGGUACAGAAGCAAAGCAAAGACAGCCCACAGAGGAGGUACUUCUUGAAGAAGCAAAGGGAAAGACAUUAUCAUGGAAAGUAACAUCCUUGGAUAUGAUUGUGAGUUUGGUUUUCAAGUUAUACAGCUUGUAUCCCUUUUUACCCAGUGGAUAUCCCAGGAAAACAUAAGGGUCAGCUCUUGGAUGGAAUUUGUCUCUAUGCUGUUUGGGUACAGAAGCAAAGCAAAGACAGCCAAAAGUCUUAAGAUGGUUAUAAG
This 699-nucleotide long non-coding RNA is filed under the name Nicotiana benthamiana. RNAcentral describes it as "long non-coding RNA (NBEN_LNC016584)". Lineage: Eukaryota; Viridiplantae; Streptophyta; Magnoliopsida; Solanales; Solanaceae. The record is from RNAcentral.